This is a long non-coding RNA of Diospyros lotus (date-plum), 1564 nucleotides long. RefSeq lists it as uncharacterized. The transcript has 2 exons. The record is from RefSeq and is a predicted model, not a curated record. NCBI's taxonomy places the organism in Eukaryota, Viridiplantae, Streptophyta, Magnoliopsida, Ericales, Ebenaceae.
UCAGAAAUCAGGAUUCGAAAUAAACCCACGUCAUCAUCAUAGGCUAGAAUAUUGCAAUUUAUUCCUUUUAAACCAUUUAUUAAAUUAUUAAUUAAUUAUUAAGUUUUCAAGAAAAUUUAUCAAUUUAGUUAUAAAUAUAUAUAUGUAUGUAUUUUUGAUAAAGGAGGAAUUUAGAUAAAAAAAUAUAUUAUCUAUAUUAAAAGAAAACUAGUUUAUGGGUAAAUAUAUAUAUAUAUAUAUUAUGAUAUUGCAGCCUAUAAGUGGGUGUGUAGUUCCACUAUACACUUACGCGUAGCAAGCAAAGCGAGACAUGAUGACGUAGUCGAUGGCUUAGCUCGACGAAUUCCAUGACGUCAGAUUUGAAUAUUGCGCGGGCCAAGGCUCAGAUUCUCAGGAUUUUGUUCGAUCUUCUCCCCAGACUCGGACUUGAGUCAUCAUUUCCCAGGCGAGUAGACAGGAUAUGUUAUGAUUACCUUAUAUUAUGCACGUAUAUACUGUUUUAUUCAUAAAUAUUAUAACCUUGUAUAAAUUUUUAUAUGCAUAACUCGUACAUGAUUUUUAUAUGCGGAUCAUAGAAAAAUACUCUUAAAUGUUUCUAAUUUGCAUGAAAUAUUUUCAUCCUACUGGGAGAGACAUAAACUGAAAGAUACCCUAAUUGAUUUCUUGUUUUGAGAAUGUGAAUUAUUGAAUGAUAUGGUGUAUUUUAGGCACCACAUGAAAUGAUAAAUGAUUGUGACUUGUGCAUAAAUUAGGGUAUUAUUUGCAUUAUUAUUAGAGGACUAUCUAGUAGAUUCCCUGGUGACUCACAGCAGGAAAAGAUCAUGGUACUGUGAGGCGUGGCAUGCCAAGGCCAUGAGAGACACGGAUAGUAUGUUUCAGCACUGCUAUCACGUGGGCCUUUAUGAUGAUAUUGUGUGAUGAUGAUGUAUGUGCCGAUAUAUAUACUUGUGUGCAUGUGUAUAUAGGCGUUAGGCCAGUUUCUACUAGUGUGUCCUCAGAAUCAGUGCAUGCAUCUCAUACAAGAGUAUAGGGGACUUGGGUGGUUAGGGAACAACUUAUGGGGGUUGUCUUUAAGCACCUAUUUUUUCCUACACUAUGUUUUCCUUUGAAAUCUCAAAUUAUUUAACUUAUGGUUUAUAAUUCCACUGUUUAUACUGUUAUUACGUUAUUAUACUCAUGAUGAUCAUCCUAGCAUUUUAUUGUAUACUCUCCUAGUGGGCAUGACAUACCUUAUACUCGCGAGUCCACAAGACUCACCUCGUUUUAUUAAAAAUAUUUUCAGGGAAUUCUCCUUUUGAUUAUUGGUCCAGCAGAUCUUCUGGUAUGAUGUCAUACCCUCUUUUGAUUUCGGAUGUAUUAUAGGAUGCUCUGUGGAGACAUACCCAUAUUGUAGAGUCUGAUGUUUUGUCUUUAUUUUUGUUGGCACAUAAUUGUGCCAAGGGCCCGAGAUACGGGAUCGGGUAUGUAUUAUUGACAGCAGUGUGAUAGAUAUUCUUAUUUUGUACAGCUGCUGUAUAUGAAAUAUUGAGAUAUUAUGUUAGAAGGUGAAUUGGUAUUUUAUUCA